RNAcentral lists this ribosomal RNA (201 nucleotides) under uncultured bacterium. RNAcentral's name for it is "partial 16S ribosomal RNA". It matches the Rfam family "Bacterial small subunit ribosomal RNA", at positions 129 to 334 of the family's 1533-position model. The record is from RNAcentral.
CCCAGUAGUGGGGACAACUCCGGAAACCGGGCUAAUACCGCAUACGGCUCUACGGGGGAAAGCGGGGGAUCUUCGGACCUCGCGCUAUUGGAUGAGCCUACGUCCGAUUAGCUUGUUGGUGGGGUAAAGGCCUACCAAGGCGACGAUCGGUAGCUGGUCUGAGAGGACGAUCAGCCACACUGGGACUGAGACACGGCCCAG